UCCAUCCCAGUCUGCUGACCUGUACCGC
RNAcentral lists this small RNA (28 nucleotides) under Bombyx mori (domestic silkworm). Its description in RNAcentral is "ovarian small RNA-2036". Lineage: Eukaryota; Metazoa; Arthropoda; Insecta; Lepidoptera; Bombycidae. The record is from RNAcentral.